Molecule: ribosomal RNA, 594 nt
Filed under: Triticum aestivum (bread wheat)
Lineage: Eukaryota; Viridiplantae; Streptophyta; Magnoliopsida; Poales; Poaceae
Description: partial small subunit ribosomal RNA
Source: RNAcentral
AUGGAAGCUCCGGCAAGCGAUCACCUGGCUGCCGUCAAGCACCUGCUCCGGUACAUCGCGGGUACGCUCACGCAUGGAUGCGUGUAUCGUCGUGGCGACGGCGAGAGCUUGGUCGGGUACAGCGACUCCGACCACGCUGGUGACGUGGACUCUCGAAAGAGCACCUCAGGCAUACUAUUCCUUCUCGGGAAUAGUCCCGCCAGCUGGCAAUCGGUGAGGCAGAAGGUUGUCGCUGUAUCUUCGUGCGAGGCAGAGUACAUCGCGGCAGCUACAACGGCAUGUCAGGGGAUUUGGCUUGCUCGCCUUCUCGGCGAGAUGCUGAAUCAGGACACCGCCCCUGCGCUCAUCUUCAUCGACAACAAGUCGGCGAUUUCCCUCUGUAAGAAUCCAGUGCUUCACGACCGCAGCAAACACAUCGAUCUCCGCUAUCACUUCAUACGUGACUGCGUCGUGAAAGGCUCGGUGAUCGUGGAGUUCAUCAGGGCUGGUGAACAGAAGGCGGACAUCCUGACCAAGUCACUUGGUCGUGUCCGGUUCCAGGAGCUGCGUGACAAGGUCGGGAUCAUCGACACCAAGCUCCUUCGACAAGAUUGA